CAAGAAGCGCCGAAAGGCUGCUUAUAAACCAUCGCGAACCUAUCCAUCAGCGUUGCUUCGGCGGGAGCGCUCGCGGGCCUCCGGGCCCCGGGCCCGUGGACCUACCCUUCCGGGGUGUGGGGGCCGCCCGCCGGAGGUACGAAAACUCUUCUGCAUCUUUGUGGCAUCUCUGAGUAAACAAGCAAAUAAGUUUA
This 194-nucleotide unclassified non-coding RNA is filed under the name soil metagenome. RNAcentral's name for it is "partial internal transcribed spacer 1". The record is from RNAcentral.